This 871-nucleotide long non-coding RNA is filed under the name Homo sapiens (human). RNAcentral's name for it is "HSALNT0003808". The record is from RNAcentral. Lineage: Eukaryota; Metazoa; Chordata; Mammalia; Primates; Hominidae.
GGCCUCCCAAAGUGCUGGGAUUAUUACAGGCUUGAGCCACCACACCCAGCCCCUGCUUUUUUGUUUGUUUGUUUGUUUGGUUUUUUUUUUUGAGACAGAAUCUUGUGCUGUCACCCAGGCUGGAGUGCAAUGGCGCAAUCUCAGCUCAUUGCAGCCUCUGGGCCCCAGGUUCAAGCAGUUCUCCUGCCUCAGCCUCCCAAGUAGCUGGGAUUACAGGCACCCGCCACCACACCUAAUUUUUUGUAUUUUUAGUAGAGAUGGGGUUUUGCCAUGUUGGCCAGGCUAGUCUCAAACUCCUGACCUCAGGUGAUCCACCCUCCUCAGCCUCUCAAAGUGAUUGGAUUACAGGCAUGAGCCCUCACGCCCGGCCUAGAACAAAGAUUUUUAUCUUGGUCACCGCUGUAGCCUUAGCACCUAGAGCAGUGCUAGUCACAUAGUGGUCCUGGAAUAAGUAUUGUUUAAAUGAAUGUGGAAAAUAUUUGCAACAUAUUACAAACAUUUAAAUUUUUAAUUAAUAUAAAGCUCCUUUUUGGCUUGGCAUGGUGGCUCACGCCUGUAAUCCCAGCACUUUGGGAGGCCGAGGUGGGCGGAUCACGAGGUCAGGAGAUCAAGACCAUCCUGGCUAACACGGUAAAACCCUAAUUCUCUGGCCGGGCGCGGUGGCUCACGCCUGUAAUCCCAGCUCUUUGGGAGGCCGAGGCAGGCAGAUCACAAGGUCAGGAGAUCGAGACCAUCCUGGCUAACACAUGAAACCCCAUCUCUACUAAAAAUACAAAAAAAUUAGCUGGGCAUGGUGGCGGGCGCCUGUAGUCCCAGCUACUCGGGAGGCUGAGGCAGGAGAACGGCAUGAGCCCGGGGGGCGGAGCUUGCA